RNAcentral lists this ribosomal RNA (443 nucleotides) under uncultured bacterium. RNAcentral describes it as "partial 16S ribosomal RNA". It matches the Rfam family "Bacterial small subunit ribosomal RNA", at positions 338 to 795 of the family's 1533-position model. The record is from RNAcentral.
CCUACGGGUGGCAGCAGUGGGGAAUAUUGGGCAAUGGAGGAAACUCUGACCCAGCAACGCCGCGUGAAUGAUGAAGGUCUUCGGAUUGUAAAGUUCUUUUCUAAGGGAAGAAGAAAGUGACGGUACCUUAGGAAUAAGCCUCGGCUAACUACGUGCCAGCAGCCGCGGUAAUACGUAGGAGGCAAGCGUUAUCCGGAAUGACUGGGCGUAAAGGGUGCGUAGGCCGGUCGUUAAGCGUGCCGUGAAAUUUUGUGGCUCAACCAUGAGAGUGCGGCGCGAACUGGAGACGUUGAGUGCGCGGAAGGCAGGCGGAAUUCGUGGUGUAGCGGUGAAAUGCUUAGAUAUCACGAAGAACCCCGAUUGCGAAGGCAGCCUGCCGCAGCGUUACUGACGCUGAAGCUCGAAAGCGCGGGUAUCGAACAGGAUUAGAUACCCCAGUAGUC